Molecule: non-coding RNA, 1681 nt
Organism: Nylanderia fulva
Lineage: Eukaryota; Metazoa; Arthropoda; Insecta; Hymenoptera; Formicidae
Source: RefSeq, a predicted model, not a curated record
AUGUACACGCGUUAAUGCAAUUUUUAAAUUUAAAAUUAAUUUUUUUUGGAAAUUAGAAGGGUUCUCUUUGUUCAAGAAUAGAAGUCUUUCUUUUUAAAAUUUUUAAUUUAUACUUCUCUUAUGUACAUAUAAUAUUAAGCGAUCAAAUUGCAUUUCCAAAUGUAUAAGGUUUUGUAUCAAGAAUUUAGCAAUAUUUCAGUAAUUAUCUGUAAAAAAUAGCAUCACGCAAUCUAUCAUGUCACAAAUAACAGUCUUGUUAUCAAAAACACUUCAUAUCAGUUAAUUGGCUCUAAACUUAUUUUACAUAUAGGACGAAUAUGGAAUAUUAUACAUUAUGCUAUCCAGAGAUAUAUAUUCUAUGAAAAUGCGAUUGAUGAUUACUUGACAUUUUGAACAAUUUAUGCAAUUAAAACUGUAUGCAUAAAUAUUGAGAAGUUUACACCAUUGAAAUUUUUUAGUUAUCAGAAAGACAUGCAAUAAUGAAACUCAUGAUUUUUUAUUUAUAUAUAGAUCUAUGAUAUAUAUCACAAAUUAAAUCUGUCAAAGUAAAGAAAAUAUUGAAGUAGGCUCAAAUGAAGACAAUAAUUUUCAACAAGUAGAAUAAUAAUUCACGAUUUUUUAAGUAGAUACAAUGAAUAAUCAAUCUAUCAAGUAUCGUCUCGCAGAAGAAUUAUAUUAAAUUUAUAAGUAUUUUAAUGAGAUGUUAGUCUUUAAAUAAAUUUAAGUCGUGAAAUUUAUCCAUCAAAAAAUGAAGGAUAUGGCAUUGAUUAGCGUGAUGGAGACUCAUUUAAGAAACAAUCGUCUCGGAAUUCGUCGUCGACCUUUCGAAACCUUUGGUAAAUAAAUAAUUCAUAUACAUUAUGCAACUGUGACUUCGCUUUUUUUUUUUUUUUUGUUUACAUAAUCAAAUAUAUUCGCGCUCAUUUAUACAUCAACGGACGGUAAAUGAGUGUCAUGUGAAAUGUCAAAAGCGAACUGCAUUAUCGAUGUAAACAUAUGCCGAUUUUAUCGACAGGGAAAAAAGAGAAACAAAAAACCAUAAACUUAUUAUAUAUAUAUAUAUAUUGUAUAAAUAUAGAAAAAGGUCAGCGUUACACAAAAUCUGUAUACAUUUAUUUCCGGCGAUCCAUAUAAAUGUAAAAAAAUACUCAAUGAAUCUAUAUAUACUUAAUGAUGCUAAUUCGUCAACUUUACAUGUAUAGAACUGCAAGCUAAUUGUAUAUCUAAUUGGAGCGACUGCACACAACGAUGAGAGAGCAUAAUGGAAUUGCAACAAUUAAUUAUAUACACACGAGCUUAAUUAUAUAUGAAUGAUUAUAAGAAAAAGUUGAGCUGGCCGUGAAUUAAUGCAGCUAAUCUUUUUUGCUUGUAUUUUUCCGUAUGUAUGCAUACAUAUAUAUCUAUGGUUUUGCUCGUGUCCUUCUCUCAAUGGCGGCGCGUAAAUAAGUGCGUAAACGCACACAUAUAUGCAUAUAUGCGUAUGUAUAUAACAUCUCCUUUUACACAAGAAGCACGAGCGCGUUUGCGUAACGCCCUGCUACUUUACAUCAAUAUUGUUAUCAGCGGUUGCAGCGUAACAUGCUUCGUUAGAAGAGAUCGCUUCUUCCUACGUUCGCAUUCAACGUGUGAUACGUGAUGCAAAUAAUAUCUAAUGAAUAAAUAAUGAAAAUUCUUAUAUAUA